This 301-nucleotide ribosomal RNA is filed under the name uncultured bacterium. Its description in RNAcentral is "partial 16S ribosomal RNA". It matches the Rfam family "Bacterial small subunit ribosomal RNA", at positions 509 to 807 of the family's 1533-position model. The record is from RNAcentral.
CAGUCGCCACGGGAAUACGAAGGGGGCUAGCGUUGCUCGGAAUGACUGGGCGUAAAGGGCGCGUAGGCGGAUGACACAGUCAGAUGUGAAAUUCCCGGGCUUAACCUGGGGGCUGCAUUUGAUACGUGUUGUCUAGAGUGAGGAAGAGGGUUGUGGAAUUCCCAGUGUAGAGGUGAAAUUCGUAGAUAUUGGGAAGAACACCGGUGGCGAAGGCGGCAACCUGGUCCUUUACUGACGCUGAGGCGCGAAAGCGUGGGGAGCAAACAGGAUUAGAUACCCCGGUAGUCCCUGUCUCUUAUAC